CCCUUGUGGAGGAGGACGCCGAAGGUGGGGCUAAUGACUGGGGUGAAGUCGUAACAAGGUAGCCGUACCGGAAGGUGCGGCUGGAUCACCUCCUAACAGGGAGACAACAAAAUGUUUAAUAUUAUUAUUUUGUCACCUUAGGUCGAUCGGUAUCUCACAUUCUUAAUUUAUUAAGGAUUUCAUUUCCUAAGUUUUUCUAGGUCACACCCAUUAUUUUUCCUGGGCCAUUAGCUCAGGUGGUUAGAGCGCACCCCUGAUAAGGGUGAGGUCCCUGGUUCAAGUCCAGGAUGGCCCAUAUCUCUAUGUUGGGGGUAUAGCUCAGUUGGUAGAGCGCCUGCUUUGCAAGCAGGAUGUCAGCGGUUCGAGUCCGCUUACCUCCACUGAUUACCACCUCUUCCAUAAUCUGUAGAAAGGAAAUGUUUUGAGUUGUGAUCAAUUCUGAACGAAUCUAGCUUCCUAAUGAAAUCAUUAAGAUGCUGGACUCAUUGAAUUAAUUUCAUUGUUUUCAGAGAACCUUGACAACUGCAUAGAUUAUUUUUAAAGACAAUAAGCAUCUUUUAAUGAUGCAGAUUUAUUAUUGGUGCAAAUGCAUUAAUAACAAUUCUAUUAAGCUGAUGCUUCAAUUAUUGAAGUUAUUGGUCAAGCUACAAAGGGCUCACGGAGGAUACCUAGGCACACAGAG
Molecule: unclassified non-coding RNA, 682 nt
Filed under: uncultured Prochlorococcus sp.
Lineage: Bacteria; Bacillati; Cyanobacteriota; Cyanophyceae; Synechococcales; Prochlorococcaceae
Description: partial may contain 16S ribosomal RNA, 16S-23S ribosomal RNA intergenic spacer, and 23S ribosomal RNA
Rfam family: Bacterial small subunit ribosomal RNA (bases 1-96)
Source: RNAcentral